GAAGGUCGGUAGUACAGGUGGUGCAUGGUUGUCGUCAGCUCGUGUCGUGAGAUGUUGGGUUAAGUCCCGUAACGAGCGCAACCCUUGUCCUUAGUUACCAGCACGUUAUGGUGGGCACUCUAAGGAGACUGCCGGUGACAAACCGGAGGAAGGUGGGGAUGACGUCAAGUCAUCAUGGCCCUUACGGCCUGGGCUACACACGUGCUACAAUGGUCGGUACAAAGGGUUGCCAAGCCGCGAGGUGGAGCUAAUCCCAUAAAACCGAUCGUAGUCCGGAUCGCAGUCUGCAACUCGACUGCGUGAAGUCGGAAUCGCUAGUAAUCGUGAAUCAGAAUGUCACGGUGAAUACGUUCCCGGGCCUU
Molecule: ribosomal RNA, 362 nt
Filed under: uncultured Pseudomonas sp.
Lineage: Bacteria; Pseudomonadati; Pseudomonadota; Gammaproteobacteria; Pseudomonadales; Pseudomonadaceae
Description: bacterial SSU rRNA
Rfam family: Bacterial small subunit ribosomal RNA
Source: RNAcentral